CGGCCACAUUGGAACUGAGACACGGUCCAAACUCCUACGGGAGGCAGCAGUGGGGAAUAUUGCACAAUGGGCGAAAGCCUGAUGCAGCAACGCCGCGUGAGUGAUGAAGGCCUUCGGGUCGUAAAACUCUGUCCUCAAGGAAGAUAAUGACGGUACUUGAGGAGGAAGCCCCGGCUAACUACGUGCCAGCAGCCGCGGUAAUACGUAGGGGGCUAGCGUUAUCCGGAUUUACUGGGCGUAAAGGGUGCGUAGGCGGUCUUUCAAGUCAGGAGUGAAAGGCUACGGCUCAACCGUAGUAAGCUCUUGAAACUGGGAGACUUGAGUGCAGGAGAGGAGAGUGGAAUUCCUAGUGUAGCGGUGAAAUGCGUAGAUAUUAGGAGGAACACCAGUUGCGAAGGCGGCUCUCUGGACUGUAACUGACGCUGAGGCACGAAAGCGUGGGGAGCAAACAGGAUUAGAUACCCUGGUAGUCCACGCUGUAAACGAUGAGUAC
This 493-nucleotide ribosomal RNA is filed under the name Clostridioides difficile. RNAcentral's name for it is "bacterial SSU rRNA". It matches the Rfam family "Bacterial small subunit ribosomal RNA", at positions 305 to 816 of the family's 1533-position model. Lineage: Bacteria; Bacillati; Bacillota; Clostridia; Peptostreptococcales; Peptostreptococcaceae. The record is from RNAcentral.